This 77-nucleotide signal recognition particle RNA is filed under the name Acidimicrobiaceae bacterium. RNAcentral's name for it is "partial signal recognition particle sRNA small type". It matches the Rfam family "Bacterial small signal recognition particle RNA", at positions 1 to 76 of the family's 97-position model. From Rfam's summary of the family: The signal recognition particle (SRP) is a universally conserved ribonucleoprotein involved in the co-translational targeting of proteins to membranes. Archaeal SRP consists of a 7S RNA and homologues of the eukaryotic SRP19 and SRP54 proteins. In most bacteria, the SRP consists of a 4.5S RNA and the Ffh protein (a homologue of the eukaryotic SRP54 protein). Lineage: Bacteria; Bacillati; Actinomycetota; Acidimicrobiia; Acidimicrobiales; Acidimicrobiaceae. The record is from RNAcentral.
GAUUGGGUCCUGUGCAAACAGUGCCCGUGAACCGAGUCAGGGUCGGAAGGCAGCAGCUCUCAGCGGAACCAUUGUUG